GACUAACGCUGGCGGCGUGCCUAACACAUGCAAGUCGAACGAGGUAGCAAUACCUAGUGGCAGACGGGUGAGUAACACGUGGUCAACCUGCCUUCGCGUGGGGGAUAACUAGCCGAAAGGUUAGCUAAUACCGCAUACGAUCGUUUCGGGGCAUCUCGAGACGAUGAAAGGAGCAAUCCGCGCGAAGAGGGGACUGCGUCCCAUUAGUUAGUUGGUGGGGUAACGGCCUACCAAGACUCCGAUGGGUAGCUGGCUUGAGAGAGCGACCAG
Molecule: ribosomal RNA, 270 nt
Filed under: uncultured bacterium
Lineage: Bacteria
Description: partial 16S ribosomal RNA
Rfam family: Bacterial small subunit ribosomal RNA
Source: RNAcentral